This is a long non-coding RNA of Myxocyprinus asiaticus (Chinese sucker), 960 nucleotides long. RefSeq lists it as uncharacterized. Lineage: Eukaryota; Metazoa; Chordata; Actinopteri; Cypriniformes; Catostomidae. The record is from RefSeq and is a predicted model, not a curated record. The transcript is spliced from 3 exons.
UUUGAUGAAGUGUGUUAGGCCGAAGUGAGUGAUGCAGGUCGGCUAAGACAGGUAAGUGGUUUAGGGUGGUUCUAUGGAGCUGGGGGGUGUUUGAUGAAGUGUGUUAGGCCGAAGUGAGUGAUGCAGGUCGGCUAAGACAGGUAAGUGGUUUAGGGUGGUUCUAUGGAGCUGGGGGGUGUUUGAUGAAGUGUGUUAGGCCGAAGUGAGUGAUGCAGGUCGGCUAAGACAGGUAAGUGGUUUAGGGUGGUUCUAUGGAGCUGGGGGGUGUUUGAUGAAGUGUUUGAGUCCGAAGUGAGUGAUGCAGGUCGGCUAAGACAGGUAAGUGGUUUAGGUUGGUUCUAUGGAGCUGGGGGGUGUUUGAUGAAUUGUGUUAGGCCGAAGUGAGUGAUGCAGGUCGGCUAAGACAGGUAAGUGGUUUAGGGUGGUUCUAUGGAGCUGGGGGGUGUUUGAUGAAGUGUGUUAGGCCGAAGUGAGUGAUGCAGGUCGGCUAAGACAGGUAAGUGGUUUAGGGUGGUUCUAUGGAGCUGGGGGGUGUUUGAUGAAGUGUUUGAGUCCGAAGUGAGUGAUGCAGGUCGGCUAAGACAGGUAAGUGGUUUAGGUUGGUUCUAUGGAGCUGGGGGGUGUUUGAUGAAUUGUGUUAGGCCGAAGUGAGUGAUGCAGGUCGGCUAAGACAGGUAAGUGGUUUAGGGUGGUUCUAUGGAGCUGGGGGGUGUUUGAUGAAUUGUGUUAGGCCGAAGUGAGUGAUGCAGGUCGGCUAAGACAGGUAAGUGGUUUAGGGUGGUUCUAUGGAGCUGGGGGGUGUUUGAUGAAUUGUGUUAGGCCGAAGUGAGUGAUGCAGGUCGGCUAAGACAGGUAAGUGGUUUAGGGUGGUUCUAUGCUGGUGGGGGUGUUUGAUGAAGUGUGUUAUGCCGGCUAUAGUGACAUCCCCCCGGCUAAUGAGUGACAUGUUGAAUGCAUGGG